AUGAAAGAGCACAGGGUCAGGUCCUGGGGUCCUACCAUGGAUUUGGGGGUCUUCGGAAGGCUGCGGGGUGCUCCUGUGGAGGACCCAAGGCCCAGGUGGGGACCAUGCACACCAUGGCUCUGGCUCUGGCCAAGCCCCAUCCUCCCUCCCUCCCACAGCCCCCUGCCCAGCUCCCCUCAGAGCCUGGCCUCCUGUGCCUGCCCUGCUCCCCUCACCUCUGGGCCACAGGGUUGCUGUUGCCCAGAGACUGUUGCCAGGCCACCACUGUUGUUCCCCCGGCAGAGGACUCACACCACUUUGCUGGGCAGGUUCACCGGGGUCUUCCUUUCAUCACACCAGGGUGCUGCUUCCUGCCGGUCUUUUUACCUCACCAGAAUUAUGUCCAGAGAAACCCUGAAAAGUGCAAGCGCUAAGGCAGAAGGCUCACGGAGCCGGGAGGUCUGACACCCGCACCACAUGCCCACCUGUCACUCCACCAGCCUUGUGCAGACACCACAAUGCACCGCCUGCGUGCCCACCCACAGUCCCUUUUUCUGCCCUUAAUCUCUGUUAACUUCAAUGACAAGAAACAAUAACUCAUGGCUUACUUCUCUGUGAAAGUAAUAAACCUAGGUUUUCCCACUAGCA
RNAcentral lists this long non-coding RNA (627 nucleotides) under Canis lupus dingo (dingo). RNAcentral's name for it is "lncRNA (ENSCAFG00020011631.1)". Lineage: Eukaryota; Metazoa; Chordata; Mammalia; Carnivora; Canidae. The record is from RNAcentral.